This 253-nucleotide ribosomal RNA is filed under the name uncultured bacterium. RNAcentral describes it as "partial 16S ribosomal RNA". It matches the Rfam family "Bacterial small subunit ribosomal RNA", at positions 524 to 776 of the family's 1533-position model. The record is from RNAcentral.
UACGUAGGGUGCAGGCGUUAAUCGGAAUUACUGGGCGUAAAGCGUGCGCAGGCGGUCUGCUAAGUGAGAUGUGAAAUCCCCAGGCUCAACCUGGGAACUGCGUCUGAUACUGGAUGGCUUGAAUCCGGGAGAGGGAUGCAGAAUUCCAGGUGUAGCGGUGAAAUGCGUAGAUAUCUGGAGGAAUACCGGUGGCGAAGGCGGCAUCCUGGACCGGCAUUGACGCUGAGGAGCGAAAGCCAGGGGAGCAAACGGG